GAGUUUGAUCAUGGCUCAGAUUGAACGCUGGCGGCAGGCCUAACACAUGCAAGUCGAGCGGAAACGAGUUAUCUGAACCUUCGGGGAACGAUAACGGCGUCGAGCGGCGGACGGGUGAGUAAUGCCUAGGAAAUUGCCUUGAUGUGGGGGAUAACCAUUGGAAACGAUGGCUAAUACCGCAUAAUGCCUACGGGCCAAAGAGGGGGACCUUCGGGCCUCUCGCGUCAGGAUAUGCCUAGGUGGGAUUAGCUAGUUGGUGAGGUAAUGGCUCACCAAGGCGACGAUCCCUAGCUGGUCUGAGAGGAUGAUCAGCCACACUGGAACUGAGACACGGUCCAGACUCCUACGGGAGGCAGCAGUGGGGAAUAUUGCACAAUGGGCGCAAGCCUGAUGCAGCCAUGCCGCGUGUGUGAAGAAGGCCUUCGGGUUGUAAAGCACUUUCAGUCGUGAGGAAGGUAGUGUAGUUAAUAGCUGCAUUAUUUGACGUUAGCGACAGAAGAAGCACCGGCUAACUCCGUGCCAGCAGCCGCGGUAAUACGGAGGGUGCGAGCGUUAAUCGGAAUUACUGGGCGUAAAGCGCAUGCAGGUGGUUUGUUAAGUCAGAUGUGAAAGCCCGGGGCUCAACCUCGGAAUUGCAUUUGAAACUGGCAGACUAGAGUACUGUAGAGGGGGGUAGAAUUUCAGGUGUAGCGGUGAAAUGCGUAGAGAUCUGAAGGAAUACCGGUGGCGAAGGCGGCCCCCUGGACAGAUACUGACACUCAGAUGCGAAAGCGUGGGGAGCAAACAGGAUAAGAUACCCUGGUAGUCCACGCCGUAAACGAUGUCUACUUGGAGGUUGUGGCCUUGAGCCGUGGCUUUCGGAGCUAACGCGUUAAGUANACCGCCUGGGGAGUACNGUCGCNAGAUUAAAACUCAAAUGAAUUGA
RNAcentral lists this ribosomal RNA (925 nucleotides) under uncultured bacterium. RNAcentral describes it as "bacterial SSU rRNA". It matches the Rfam family "Bacterial small subunit ribosomal RNA", at positions 9 to 913 of the family's 1533-position model. The record is from RNAcentral.